CUCUGUAGCUGCCUCUCAACUCUAGACUUUCCAAAGUUUAAAUCAAGAUGUCUUUUGGAAGGGACCGGGGGCAUAAUUAUAACGGAACAGGGGGGAAAUAGGCCUCCGAGGAAGUGAGGUCCACCAGCAGAGUGACAGCUCUUUUGUUCUCCCCCUUGCCCCUCUCUGAAGAGGGAGCAGAGGCCCAUCUUUACUUUCUCUCCCAGGGCCUUGCUAUACCCCUAGAAAGCAUGCAGUUUCUUUUUCUUCAAACUGACUGGGGGUGGGGCAUUGUGGAUAAAACAAGGUAGAGCAAGAUAGAUAGUAAUCUACAUCAAUGGGGAAUUGUGUAUAGGACAUAUCUGUAGACUUUCUAAGCUCUGGGAAGGAGUUGGACUAAGAUUUGUCCACCUCUGGUUCACUGCUAUAUAAAGAGUAAAAUUGUAUAUCAAUGAUUGGUAUGGAGCUUUAAUCACCACAGAAAGAGUUGUUUGAGAGGCAGUGGAACCAACAGAUCUUAAAAAACAGGGGAAGAGAAAUGGGAGAUACAACAAUUUUGUUGCUUUAAUAUUUAUCCAAGACAGGAGAAUUCUCAGUGUGUGUGUGGUGCAUAUGACAACUAUUUGUCCUGCUCUCCAUGCAACAACCAAGCCUCAUAUUUUCCUAGAGAAGACUAUUCUGAUAUGCUUUGAGAGCCAAGAAGCAUGUUUUUGUUUUUUUGUUUUUUAAAAUCACUCAGAUAAAAGCCCUCUUCAGAUAAUAUGUUGUAUGUGCAUUCAGGUAUCUGCACACAUGUGCAUGCUUCUGUGUGAAUGAUUGCACAUGCAUUCAUUUUAAACUAGCUGACCCGGCACAGAGCAUCUGCACCUCUAGUUCUCCCUGCCCCACCUCCCGCUGCAACUGAUCCAGCUCCCUGCCCCGUCUUCAUUUCAUCUCCAUUCCUUCAGUCAGUUUGUUCUCCCCCAUCCCCCCAUCUCUUCAGCCAGUUUGUUCGUUCUCUCCCUCCCCAUCCCUUCAGCCAGUUCUGCCGCUGCUUUCUCUUGGCCAGCCAGCCACUGCUUUCCUGCAUUCCUCCCACCCCUCCCCUUGCUCGUGAACUCUCGCAAGAGCUGCCACACAUGGGAUUAGCGAUGGGUGCAUCUAAGAGAACUAUAGAUAGAUAGAUGUGAAGCUGGGUAGAGGCCCACUGAAAUGCACAAUACAAAUAAGAAGCAUAUUGUUGUGCAUGCGUUCAGCAUGAUAUGUGAAUAACUAUGCUCCACGCUCUAGCUCAGUCUGGAAUAUGACUUCUACCUGCAUCCUGAAAACUUGGACGGGAUGAGCCCUGAACUGAUUAGCUACUGCAAAGAAAUACAGAGUCUUCCUUUGAGGCCCUGACUCUGAGUCAUGGCUGCCCUGUUACACUGCCAUUCCCCCAAUGACAUGUUUGUUCUUUAAGAAAUAUCACCUCCUUUAUUUUGUAACUCUUAAAUCUCUGGAAGCAAUGGGGCAAACCAUCUCUACACAAACAGAUAGGAAAUUUUAUUAAGUACCACUGAAAAUCAAUAUGGACAGAGGAGCUAAUAAAUUAAGUGAGAUUCUUAAAGCCACCCUGUAGGUGGAGCUACUCACUUGGCUAUCUCACAGCAUCUUUCUGCACUGUUGAGACUAAUGAGGUUCACCGAAGAUUUGCAGUAACUAUUGGCUGAGAGUCAAACCUGAAAACUCUGUUGUAUAGUUAAAAUGUCAAUCUGAAUACUAAUCGAACUGAACAGUUUCAUAAAUGCUGGGUGAGUUUCUGGUAUUUUUAAUUAUCAAUUUUAGGGCUCAAGGUGGUCUGUAAAUUGCAUUUCUGUUUUACUGCAGGGAGUAGGUAUCUCUUCCAAGCACAAGUAAGGCAGCAGUUAUAUCACUAUUAGAAUCCUAGUGAAAUGCCUGUCAUAAUGGUGGUGUGCAUAUGUGUGGAAGAAGAGUCUGUGCAAUGAGGCCCCUGUGUUAGAGGUCAGAGUCAAGAGUGUAGCAAGGUUGGGGUGGGCCCAGAGACAAGAUUUUAAAAUGCCCCCCCUCACUGAAGCUCAGCUCAUGAAAUAAAGAAAUUUUAAAUGAGGCUGAAUAGUGGUAACAAAAAGCAUAGUAAAAUGUAUAUGUGCCACAAUAGAACAUUAUCCUAAAUUAUUUUUUUAAAGGUUUUGUAAAUUGUGGACGAUGAAAGUCAUUUAAUGGUACUAGAGAAAGACAUGCUGUUCUGGUAGCUCCGGGUCUUAACACUCACAUCAGUUUUGGAGGAUGAAUACAACCGAAGGAAGCCCAGGCGGGUGCACGGCUGGGGGAGUCAGUCAUGUGACUCGCCUCAGGCGGGGCAAGGCAGUGGGCCCCCAGACAACUGUCUCCCCUUGCCCUAUUAUAGUUACGCCCCUGGUCAGAGUACAGGCUUUCAGGGGUAGCUGGUGAGUGGCAAUGUAGUCCCUUCAUACUGUGUUUUAUUUUUCCUGUGUGGGAGAAAGUAAAAGAGUGCAUUUAGGCACACCCUUCGCUGUGUGUGAAGAGUUAAUCCUGCCCCUUUCCCAGGUAAUCCUAGUGUCUGGAGGGAUGGUCAGGUUUUCCUCCCUUCCCCCAACACUGCCUGAUGCUGCAGACACCUUACUUUGAGUCACAGAACUUAAAAUGAAACCACUGGGAAUUGGGUCAUUCCCUCUAUGAAUGGAAACUCCCGUUCACCCAUAGAUUCCUUCCUGGGUUCCCUUCCUUCCUUCCUUCCUUCCUUCCUUCCUUCCUUCCUUCCUUCCUUCCUUUCUAAUAUUAUUUUAUUGUUUUAAGAAAGAUAAACCAAGAGAAAUAAGAAACAGAAAAGAAAAAAAGAAACAAGAAACAGGAUAAUCAAACCCAGAAAUUACAAAGAUUCUCAAUAAAGUCUAUAUACGUCAACCUAAAUUCCUUCAGCCAACAUGUCUUCCCCACACCCACAACUCUACACAUUAUUAAGUACAGAACUGAAACAACAAUGAUAUUUUUACUGUCUGCAUUAGUUUCCUCUACAAAGAAAAGCCAUAUCUCGGAUGAUGUAGCAAUCCCUGCAAUAUAUUAUAUUGAAUAAAUGGUUCCCACACAUGAAAGAAAAAAUCCUCAGAUUUGUUUUUAAUAUAUGCAGUUAUUUUGGCCAUUGAUGCGUAUUCCCAAAGUUUGAGAUGCCAAUCAUCUAAAGUUGGAAUCAAAUUUGUUUUCCAACAGGAAGCAUAAAGGAUUCUUUCUGCCAUUAUCAUACAUAAAGAAAGUUCAGUAUGUUUUGCAAGAAUAUGCAGUUUAGUAAAAUUUAACAUGAAGAUUUCUGGGAGAAGAGGGAAGUUUGUAUGCAAAAUUUGCUACAUCUUGGAAUAUAUUGAUCUCCAAAAUUUUUGAGCUUUUUUACAUGUCCACCACAUACGAUAGAAAGUACCUGUCUGCUCCAUACAUUUCCAGCAAUCUCCAGGAUAGUUAUUGUUCAUCUCUGAAAUCAUUGCUGGAGCAAUAUACCAAAGCAGGUACAUUUUAUACCAAUUUUCUCUUAGAGUAUUAUUCACAGUAAAUUUUAUAUUCACCUUCCAUUGAAAUUCCCACGGUUGCAUCUCUGUUGUUCUGUUUAAGAUCUGCAUCCAUUUUACCAUACAGUCCUUUACCUGUUCAGAUUCAGAGUCAUACUUCAAUAGAAGUUCAUAUAUAAGGCCUAGCAUGUGUUCUGAGUUCUUUGUUCAAAUUUCAAAUUCUGUCAAAUCUCUUAAUUUCCCACCUUGCUUCCAUACUUCUUGCUGAAUUAUGCUUUUAAUCCAUAAGUAUAGUAACCAGGAAGGAGUUUCUUUCCACUCUUGACUUAAGCAUUGAAAGGAUUUCAUUUUUGAUCUUCCCUCCAUAAGACUCUGCAAAUCGUAUACUCUCCAUUGAUCAAAUUGUUUUGUAUGUUCUUCUCUGUGAAAAUAUAUAUUUAAUAUUGAAGCUACCGGCGACAAUGUUGGGCUUAUCCUUUUUUUGUACUUAUUCCAUACCUUCAUUAAGAGCUGUUCCUAAUGGGGUGAUUUUUAAUUUCUACAUUCAUUUUCUUUAUAUUCCAUUUCUUAUAUGUGACAAUAAAGUAUGAUGCUGAAA
Long non-coding RNA from Hemicordylus capensis (graceful crag lizard), 4074 nucleotides. RefSeq lists it as uncharacterized. Lineage: Eukaryota; Metazoa; Chordata; Lepidosauria; Squamata; Cordylidae. The record is from RefSeq and is a predicted model, not a curated record. The transcript is spliced from 2 exons.